AAACGUGAGAUCAAGUAUGAUAGAUGCGAUAUACCGCCACCACAGUGCGCAUGUCCACAAGGCUUUGGUGGCCGAUGCUGUGAAGAACUGAUUGAUCCCUGCAAUUACACCAAGUGUGGAGAUGGACAAAUUUGUAAAUCAGUGGAAGUGUUCUGCAAGAAGGCCCCAUGUCCUCUCAAAGCCAUCUGCGUUCCAGACGCCGGUAUCUGUCCAUUGUUUCCAAACACAAUCACGACAUGUGAACUCGAACCAUUUGCUUGUCGAAACGAUUCGGAUUGUUCCGAUGGUCAGUUGUGUUGCAAAAGGGGAUGCGGCCUUGAAUGCGUAAAGUCUUUACCAACAGGAACUGCCGGUUGUGCUCGCGUUGUUUGUCGAAAUGGAACGGUUUGCAGAGAGACUAGCGUGGG
This is a long non-coding RNA of Corticium candelabrum, 407 nucleotides long. RefSeq lists it as uncharacterized. The record is from RefSeq and is a predicted model, not a curated record. The transcript is spliced from 4 exons. NCBI's taxonomy places the organism in Eukaryota, Metazoa, Porifera, Homoscleromorpha, Homosclerophorida, Plakinidae.